Molecule: long non-coding RNA, 334 nt
Filed under: Malus domestica (apple)
Lineage: Eukaryota; Viridiplantae; Streptophyta; Magnoliopsida; Rosales; Rosaceae
Description: long non-coding RNA (MDOM_LNC009340)
Source: RNAcentral
AAAAAUGCUCAACCCUUCAUCAUAUCUGAGAGGGCACUCCCAACGAAGCCUUUCGAAAUAUUCAGCUUUCUUUCCCCUCGAUAAUACCUCUGCAAACAAGCUAUACUAGAGCAAGAAUAUCUCAUAUCAUCAGGGUUAAAAGCAAGAGUAUCCCAUAUCAUGCUUUUUCCCUGUCUUUUCCUUUGGCCUUGUUUUUACCUGCAAGACAAGGAGAAAGAGAGCAAUCAGUCAGCACUUGGAAUCAAGCUUCCAGCCAGGAACUGACUGCCUGGAACCCCUUACCUGAUUACUUACCUGGCAUUGCUCUCGAGUACUCAUCUUCAACAUCUUAUGU